RNAcentral lists this long non-coding RNA (1487 nucleotides) under Homo sapiens (human). RNAcentral's name for it is "HSALNT0169303". Lineage: Eukaryota; Metazoa; Chordata; Mammalia; Primates; Hominidae. The record is from RNAcentral.
GAUCGAAGGGUUCCAGAACUUGAGAUUUUCAGUGCUAAAACUGGAAAAGUCCCAGGAAAAUAGUACUGAAUUGGUUCCCCUACCAAAGUUCUGGGUGUAAUUUAAAGGAAAAUCCAGUGAUCAGAGGAAGGGAGAAGAGACAGAGAUUUUAUUAACCAAAGUCCCAGGAAAAUAGUACUGAAUUGUUUCCCCUACCAAAAUUCUGCAUGUAAUUUAAAGGAAAAUCCGGUGAUCAGAGAAAGGAAGAAGAGACAGCAAUUUUAUUAACUAGGCAGCCAUCCUGACACAAUGGGAGCCAACCACAUCCUGACCAAACUUAACCAGUGAGGCUUCCACAAAGAUUUAAGAGUUCCAGUAGCUUCCUGAUACCCCCUCCCCAACUCUUCUGCUCUCCUCACAGCACACAGAAGGCAUCCCUCUGGGAGAAGGUGACAAGCUGGGACAGUCACUGUGGGUCUCUAUCCUGAGAAGUUACUGAUCCUGUGUUCCCUGGUGAAGGCUGCCACAACCAGAACCACAGCCAGGAAGACCCCAGAAGAGAUGGCAGUGCUGUGAUACCUCCCCUGGGUGCUGGCUGUCUCCUCCACAUCAGCCACCAACACGUCUGGGAAGGAGAGGAGACCACAAUAACAGACAGGGCACCAGGACAGAGCCUGGCAGAGGAGGAGAGGAAGACAAGUAAAGGCCAUGGCCCCCUGGGCAUAGUAAAGGCAAUCAGAACUGUUUGGUGGGAAAGGAUAAAAAACUUGGAGAAGGAAGUGCUGAAUGGGAAACUGAGGCCAGACCCCAAUGGGCAGCUGACUGUCAGACUAGAGAGAUUUCACGUUUAUCAGCCAAGGAGAGUCAGGGAAGUUUUUCUUAGCAGGAACUGGGAACUGGGCUUUGGGAGAACAAAUCUGGCCUGAGGCUCCAGAUGAAUGGGAGGGGAGAGAGUUGGGCAUUUUAGACCAGCUGGGAAAUGAUUACAAGAGUCCCAGGUAAGAGGCCCCCAGGACGUGAGCUACUACGGCAGCUGCAGGGAACAGGAGGGAGAGGAGGGAAGUGAGCCUGUGCCCACAGGCACCUUCGCCCUGCCCUGAUGUCCUUUGCUCCUCACUCCGACCCCAUUGCAUGCACCAUUCAUGAGACUUAUUCUGAAUUGCAUCUUUUCCUCCAAGACUUUAUCUGCCUCCUGGUGCAUAACAGUCCUUCAUUAAACAUGCAUUGAAUGAAUGAACAAGUGAGGAAAGAGUCUGGACUCAGGUGGACAUAAAGACGGCCUGAAUAGGAAUCAAGAGGAAAGAGCUGUCAAAGAUGCCCCAUGGGCAGCGCCCUGACCAAGGAGAGGGCUUGUGACAACUACUGCUGCCCCACCCACCCCCAACACCAUGGCCACCACAUCUGUUGACCUAGCCCCAGACUGGGCCAGAAAUCCUGGGCAUCACUCUGCAAACAUUCAUUCCCUCGUCCAUGCCCACAACACAGCAGCACAGCCGCACAGCAACACA